UUAGUUUGACUCAAUGAUCAAAAAUCCAUAUUAAUAAUAUUUUAUUAACCGUCAUUGAUACAAAGAAAUAUAUCUUAAGAUGUGUUCAAUUUGGACAAGGAUCUUAAAGAAUACAUCCUCACCGUAAUAAAGUAUAUAAGAAAGUUUAUGUAGGGUUACAAGCAAUCUACAUACAAGAUUUUGAAAAGCUUUCGUGCAUGAAUCUCCAAGCUUAAAUUUUUAAAGGAAACAACAUUUGAUUCCACUAGGCAGUUCCUCGGUUGCUGCGCCGCCGGCUUCCAUGGCUUCUGACUUCAUUUCCAUCAUGUAAUCAAGCGGAAAACACGAGAACGAUCCUGGCUUUGCUGAAUGAACAAAUGCACGGUGCUGAUCGAGUCAGAUUCAGAACGCCGAUGAGGAGAUGAAGUCUGAAGGAACGGCUAGGAUUGAGGAGCAAGGGCUGCCGUGGAACCACUUGGAGUUUCAGAUCAUCAAACACGAUUAACGUAAGCGACAGUGAAGACGAAGACCAACACGAAGAACACAACAUGGGUCAGGUUCGUCCCGGCGGUGGAGAGGCAUAACCGGAUGACAGAGGGAAGUAACAAUGAGGUGGGUCCCGCUGAUAACGAGGAUGGGAAUGGCGCCAGUCCAAGAACGGUGACAGCACAGGGGACGCCUGUCGUUGAUGAGACUGUUAGCGGAAUCGGACGGCUGUGAUGGGGAUGUGGGAAAUGAUAUGAUGUGUUGCGUGUGUAUGGGAAGAAAGAAAGUUGCAGCGUUUAUCUUACGUGGGCACACUUUGUAGGGUGUGUUUGAGGGAAUUGUGGUUAAAUCGAGGGUCUUGUCCCCUCUGCAACCGUCCGAUCCCCGAUAUUCUCGAUAUUUUCUGAUGAAAAGACCACAAUCAUUCAUCACUGAUGCUGAUCAGACGGUGAUGAAGCGUUCAUUGUUAUCGAUUGUGUAUAAGUGUUCAUUGAUUUUUUUAUUUAUUAAUAGGAUAAAUCUCAAUAAUUAAAUCAA
Long non-coding RNA from Mangifera indica (mango), 1002 nucleotides. RefSeq lists it as uncharacterized. The transcript has 2 exons. The record is from RefSeq and is a predicted model, not a curated record. Lineage: Eukaryota; Viridiplantae; Streptophyta; Magnoliopsida; Sapindales; Anacardiaceae.